GAAGAGUGGGAUCGCGUACGGCUUUCAAUUAGCUUUGCACAAGGGAAAACUUGUGACAUUGAUGCCAUGAAUUACAUAUUAUCUCUGAGCUACUUUGACCUUCCUCUUGAUCUAAGAAGUUGCCUAUUAUACUUGACUAUGUUUCCUGAAGAUUCUGUGGUUGAAAGGCAACGAUUAGUACACAGAUGGAUUUCUGAGGGUUUCAUCCAUGGCAAAGGCGGGGAAGAUCUUAUUGAGCUAGGAGUGGCAUAUUUUCAUGAGCUUGUGAACAGAAGUUUAAUACAGCCGGUGAAUAUAGGGUAUGAUGGUAAGGCAUGGGAUUGCCGAGUCCAUGACACCAUUCUUGAUUUCCUCAUUUGCAAGUCUAUUGAAGAGAACUUCUGUACAUUCUUAAGCGAUCAUAUAAAACGAGAUAGCAAAAUUCGCCGGCUUUGUCUCACUGGAAAUAAAGAUCAAGGCAGGGUGGAGCAAUUGGAUUUAUCACAUGCUCGAUCACUUGCUAUUUUUGGCAAAGCCGAUCUAAUUCCUUCCCUUGUGAAGUCAAAUGCUCUGCGGGUGCUGGAUCUAGCAGAUUGCAAUGGAUUGAAGAAUCAUCAUAUCAAAGAUAUUGGAAGACUUUGUCAGCUGAGAUACUUGACCACCAGUCGGUCAAGUAUACGGCCAAGUAUACGGUUAAGUAUACUGUUAAGUAUAAGUGAGCUUCCUAAACAGAUUGGAGACUUGGUGUAUCUGGAGACGCUAGACGUGUCCAACUCAAUGUUAGUUGAGCUGCCUGAAUCGGUUACUCGUCUAAAACGACUGGCGCGGCUUUUUGUUCCAAGAUAUACUAAAUUGCCUGAUUGUAUUGGAAACAUGGAGAAGUUGCAAGAGCUUGGGAAUUUUAUAGACAUUUUUGAGCAAUCAGUGAAGUUUGUUGAAGAGCUUGGCAAACUAAUAAAUCUGAGGAAACUGAGUGUUUAUUUGGACGACAAAGCAAGCUACAAGAAAAAAGAAAUGAUAGUGUCCUCCCUCUGUAAACUGGACACAUGCAAGCUUCACACCCUCUCUAUUCAGUUUUCAAUUGAAGGAAAGGAUGCUGGAACCUUGAUAGAGGGGCAUCCAUUUUUUAUCCCUGCUCUCAAAUGCAUUCGAGAGAUUUACCUCGCCAAUAAGCAACUCUGUUGGAUUACCAAAUGGAUUAUUUCACUCGCCAACCUAGAGAAAUUAACUCUCUGCGGCCAGUGGGUAGUGCAGCAGGAUGUUGAGAUGGUUGGAAGCAUACCUAGUCUGCUCGAAUUUUUUGGGCCAAAGUUCGCAAAACCUGUCAUCAUUCGCAGCAGUGGGGGGUUUCAACGGUUGCAGGCGUUCACGUUCUGGUUGCAUGAUAGAGAGUUUAUGUUUGAAGCGGGGGCUAUGCCGAAUGUCAGGAAGCUCUUCAUCAACAUUUGUCUAAUAGAUAUCAAAUGUGCAAGUGGUGGUCGUGGUGGUUUUGAUGAUAUUGGCAUCCACCACCUCUCCAGCCUUGCUGAGCUCUAUGUACAGAUAUUUUGUCAUGGCGUGAAAGUUGCAGAUGUGGAGGCUGUGGAGGUUGCUUUCAAGAGCAUGGCCGAAGCACACCCCAACCGUCCUAAGUUGAAAUUGAUGAGAGCAUAAGGUAAUUUUAUGGUAAGGGAUGAUUAGUGAUUUCCCUCUCUAUCGAGACCAGACGGUGAUCGGAUAUGACGAGAUGCUGAAGGAGAAUUACAAGGUGAGGGGAUGCACGGAAGUCGUGCUUCCGCAAGCACGACUGGAGCUACGGUUUUUUCUUACUUCAUCUCUCUUAGAUGCUGAUGCUACCUGCGGCUGCCAGAUCGAUCAGGCCAGUGUAGUUUUAUUGUUUUCCCUGUGCUUUAAUAUCUGAACAUUUCUCGUGAUUUUUCACCACCCAGCUUUGCUUGCAUCAGCUGCUUGGUGUGGUGGUUAUCAUCUUAAAGAAUGAUAUAUGUGGUUCACUUGCAGUACGUCUCGAUGGAAUAUCUGAUAACGCCUGGGGUUAAGCUGUUUUUGGUGAUAAAUUUGUGCGUGGCUGGCUAGCUCAUUUACAGUCUUUAGAGACAAAUAACAUCCAUAUCAUAUCCUAAAGCCGGUGGAUUGUUCGGCCUCUCAGCGCUCCCCCGAGGCUUGACUGGCUUCCUUUUAUUUGGACGGGCGUUGUCAAAGAGGGAGGGAAAGCAGGGAGCUUAUUGGGGGCUCACUCGCGAUCUCGAGCUGGCGACCCCACGCUCCUCCCACCACCUCGCCUCCGCCAUCGCGGCCGCGGGUCUCCUAGCCGCCGCCGCCGCCCCCCACGCCGCCCAGCGCAGCUGCCGCACGCCCCCGGCGCGGGCGGCGCCGCCACCCUUGACUCUUUAUUUCUCUUCUCUUAUCCUCAAUCCCCAGCCCCGAACAGAUCUCUCUCGCACGAAACUCCUCUCUCGAUCCACAACCGCACGCGCUCCGCCCCGCCCCGUCCCCCGGCGGCAAGACCUGUGGGCCUGGCCCGAACCCUGAGAGCAACGAACCCCUAGCGGCACCGGCCGGGCCGCCGCCCAUCUCCUCCUUCCUCGUCCUUCGCGACUGCUCCUUCGCAGGUCACCACAGCAGAGCCUCCUUCUGUAAUUCGUGGUUACAACUGCUUGCGGGGUGCGGGGUCCGGAAUCACGGGGAGUCCAGUGCCAGAAGGCUGCCGUCUACGCCUGGCCUCCGCUGCUCCGGUCUUCCAUUCCACGUUCUGAAUUUGAGGUAAGUUCUUGAUCUAGAGGACUUAUUGGUUCGUGAUUUGGCUAGGGAUUUGGUUCUUAAUCUUAAUCUCAGGGGAAAUUUGUUCUUGUUCUUUCAGUUCUGCUCCUCCUCCUUUCUCCGUCGACAUUAUAUUGAUGCACUGCGGUCUACUCAUAGAGUAGCACUAUUAUAAGAUACAAAAAAAAAUGCUAUUCCGUAUUAAGAAUGCUCAUGAUAGUUUUCUAAUAAGGAUGUAGAAUGAAUCUGAUGUUGUUAGUUUCAGUGAUCUUUGGUGCUGGUAAUACGCAUGAUUGUGCCCUUAUUAAAUCUAUUGGUUCGAGUUUCUUAUCAAUCCAUUUCAUUCCUGAUAAUUGCAAGAUGACAUUCUUUUUCAUUUUCAGUUAUGCAGUUCUAUUUCUUGACGGGAGUUCUUUUUCAGUUUUAGUUAUUCUUCUUAAAUUUGUUACCUUCUGAUGUUGAACUAUAUAUGCUCUCCACUAUGUUCUUCAGCAUGCUGCUAGGCUGCUUAACAUUGCUAAGACAUGUGAACUUCUAAUGAUCCUUUGAAUAUGAGAUUCAUGUAUUCUGUUAGAGUUUACUGCAUGUUAGUUAGAGAUACAUGCAUACUAAUUAGAGAUACUGCAUGUAAGAGUUUCUACUGCAGAUUGUAUAUGACUGCUUUGUAUCUCAUAUUGCUCAAUGUGGAAUUGUGGAGUUUGAUUUGCCGAAAGAUGAGGAUAGGACCAUGAACAAGACUUGCAAGUGUACAAGUAAUCAAGAGAAGUUGAUACUUCUGGUUAUGAGAGUGAUCUUUUCAGGAAUAAGAAUUGUAUUUAUGUAGUAUUGUAUCAAUUGUAUCAAGUUUGUUACUUCUGCAGUACAUCCUGGCUCGUUAAUUCGACUUGUGGGCAUGCCUUUACCUGUAGAAAAAAAAUAUGAAUUUAGUUGUGCAUGGCUGAUGUAUCUGAAAGACAAUCUUCAUAUAAUCUGACAGCUGGCAACCUAUGCACGGGAUAAACGGGCUGACGUUGUUGAGCCCAUAUGUCUCAGCUUCGUCCGUACGGUAGAGGUCGGCCGCUUCCCCAAGGGCCCGGUUGAGUGAAAAUCUUUCUUGCUUAUACCUGGAUGCGGAGCAGAUCUUGGUUGGAUAUGUGUGUGGAUUUUAUUACUAGCAAAAUGCAUAUCCAUACGUUUGUAUUAUUCUGAUAUGCGUUGAGUUCAAGUUCAUACAUUUUAUCCGUAUAUGUGUGAGUUCAAGUUCAUGUAUUUUGUUUUGACUUCUUCCGGAUAGCGUAUUGUUAAAAAAUUCUGCGUUGCAUUCUUAAGUUGAAGUUCGUGUUUUUGAAUUCUUUUGGGACUCUGUGCUCUUAAUACAUCUUGUUUGUGGAAGAAUAUACAUCCAUAUGUGCAAAAUGUUGGCUCAUAUGGUUGCUUUGUGUUUUCGAUUUGAGGAUUCGGAGCAUAAAACAUUAAGUGGUACAGAAUAUCUAGAUAAUGUAAUCUUCGUCAACUUGAAAAGUACUGGAGAUUCUAUUUUGACCAAAAAAAAAUUCAAUGACUGGAGAUUCUAUUUUGACAAGAAAAAAAAUCGAUGAGAGCACGAAUAAAUGGUACCAAAUUGAUUGCCUUUUUUCGUAAAUAAUUAUAAACGAUGAUACUAAGUUCACUGAUUAAUUAUUGCACAUUUGGUGAUUAAUAUUCAAAGAAUAUAAUGUUUGGAAUCUGAAGUGUUAGAAAAAUAUGCAUCAAUUUUCAGGUAUGCGAUGCAAAAAUACAAGGUUGCAUAAUGAAAAAACAACUACAAAACAUAGCAAUUUAUUUUUGCGUGAUUGUCACAAAAAACAUGAGAAAAGUGUUGCCUAGAUCGUUUUAGUUUUGUCAACAACGCAGCGAAGCGCGCGUCCCCUGCUAGUAUGCCUAUAACUUUGGCCCAAAGGCCACCUCUAUUCUAAUUCUGCAGUGUAUAUAGGUAUCUUCCGAUCCAUAUUAGUUAUCGAAAUAUUACAUGUAUCUAGACACUUUUUAGACAUAGAUACAUCCAUAUUUGAGCAAAUUUGAGACAAUUAAUAUGAAUCGGAUAAAACCGUUUUUUUUUUGCCGUGAAUGAUAAGGGGUGCCAGUCAAAUCUAGCCAUCCAUGCAUACGGGUACUUUAGAUAUUUACUAACAAUCUUUUUUUUUCUUCCUAACAGCAAAGCCAAGACUUAAUAGUCUGUGGACAGACCACAAGGGAAGAAGCAACGACCAUUUCGAACACUUUGCAACAUUUUUGUUCUCUUUCAGGUCAAACUCCUAAUUAGGCCAAGUCUUCGGUUUUGUUUAGUAAGAAUGUGGUGGAUGCGCAGAGGGACAUCGUCAAAGGUAUUUUUAGAGUGGUAGAUAUGAAACCUGAAUCCUUCCAUUUAGGCCAUCCUCUUACAUUGCCUGCCAAAAAUAGAACUACUGCUUAUGAUUUUGUCUUAGACAAGUUAAAAAGUAAACUUAAUGGUUACAAAGCUAACAAGAUUUCUCAUGCGGGCAGACUUGUUCUAAUCAAAUCAGUUUUAGCCGCUCUUCAUGUGUACUAUAUGUCUAAUAUUUUGUUUUCCAAGAAGAUGUUGGCUAAAAUGAAUGCAGUGAUAAGAGACUUCUGGUGGACUGGUGUUCAAGAGGAGAAUCAAAAGAAGCCCCUCUACCUCAAGGUUUGGGCUGAGAUUUGUAAAUCCAAAAAAGAAGGUGGUCUAGAAAUUAGAAAUUUAGAAGCUGUCAACAAAGCUAUUCUAGUUAAUUCUGCUUGGAAAAUUGUCAGCACUAAUCAUAGCACUACAGCAAGGAUCUUAAAAUCUAAAUAUUUUCCCUAUACCUCUUUCUGGAAAGCGCCCACUAAUAUUCCUAAGUUCGCUUUCUAGUCUUCAAUUCUUAAGGUGAGGGAACCUCUUAUCAAUGCUGUUACUUUGCAAACAUCCAAAGGUAAUACUUGCAUUUGGUCUAGUCCUUGGUGUCCUUUCUGGAAUAACAUUCACGAUAGUCUUUUUAUCCAGAAUUAUGGUUUCCAUUAUCCUGCUACGAUUAAAGAUCUUUGGAUUCCUAAUACAAAAGUUUGGAAUAUGCAACUUUUAGUUACUCUCUUUGGUCAACAAAAAGCUAAUAUUGUCUCCCAGAUUCCUAUAAAUGCUAGUGACAAUGAAGACAUCUUAAUUUGGAAACACACAUCUUCAGGAAUUUGUACUUCAAAGAGUGCUUACCAGAUUUUUAGUCCAGGCUUUUAUGGCCUUAAUGCAGGUCCUCAUCAAAUCCUCUCCGAAAAAUCAAGACAUAUCAUUCCCGCGAUUUGGUUAAACAAGGAUAUGCCUCCAAGAGUCCAAGUUUUGGGCCGUAGGCUUAUGAGACAGGCCAUUUCUUCAGGAUGUAGAGCUGCAUCAAGAUCUUUUCACAUUGAUAAAAAAUGUUGCAGGUGUGGAGCCAAUGAAAACGACUUCCAUUUGUUUUUCUCUUGUCAUUUUGUUCAUGCAGUUUAGUUUGUGUCGCCGUUGGGUUUGAGAAUGGAAGGUUUGAUUGCUCAAGGUGUGCAUGAAAUUGAAGAUGCUCUACACAUCAUCAUGAUGACCUACAAAACAGAGCACUCCAUUCCCCUUGUUUUUAAUAUUCUUUGGUCUAUUUGGAAGGCGAGGAAUGACCUCCUGUUCAACAAGAUUAAUAGCUCUCCUAUGCAGAUUCUUUAUGCAGCAAAAGCCUUAACUUAUGCAGGUCAAGUGAAUCAUGAAGAAAGAGGAGAUGGACACGCUCAGUUGAGGUGUAACACGAAACCAAGUCAUAGCAACUUCACCAUUUCAUCUCUCAUUGACAGUAGCAGAAUAUCUUCAGGGCCUACCUUCUUCACGAAUGCUUCCUGGAAGAAUACUUCUACAAAUGUGUCUCCAAGUUCCUUUCAGCUUUACAAGCGUCGCAUGGUUGAAGGACCUAACAUUUUCACUGAUGCUGCUUGGAAACCCCCAGCUUCAAAUGUGUCUCCAAAUGUGUCUUUUCUUACAGGUACAAAGAGUAAAGUAGGUAUUGGUAUCUUUAUGCAUCGGAUUGGAGAACAAAAGUAUUCUGUUUUUGUGGAGGCUUCCUCAUUUGCAAGUUCAGCACUUGAAGCGGAGGCUCGAGCUCUGGAGCUAGCGGCACAGAUUGGAACAGUCAUGAGAGUACAUCAACCUAAUUUAUUAAAGCUGUGAUAAAGAGAGACCCAAUCAACCAUCUAGGACAUUGGUCUAUAAGGCCAAAUCUACACCAAAUUCUCUCCUGUAUUCAAAACUUGGAUUCAAGAGUUAUCAAAAUCAGAAGAGAAAACAACAAGAUAGCUCACAGGCAAGCACAGGAUGCUUACAAGCUUCAUAAUGUUCAAGCUUGCUUUUAUAGUUGUGCAGGGUUAGCACAUAAUCCAUCAUCUUGCCCUGUAAAAGUUGUUAUCAGCUCUCUAAAUGUGCAGGUUUGCACAUUGUUGUUAGUGACAUGUUUAUGAAGUAAUAAAAUCUCCUUUUGCAAAAAAAGAAAAAAAAAACAGCAAAGCCAAGAACCACGCCUGGUUAGUUUAUUAAUUAGAGCUUAGGAUGAACGGGCUGAUUUGCCACAGAUCGUAUUUGUGUACUACUGCCGCAAGUUUACAACAUAAUUAAUCCCAGGGAAGAUGAUUAGUAAGAAGAAAUAACAUUCAGAAAGAAACAUAAGAUAUUGGAAUGAAGUAUGUGUGUCUUAUCGUGAAACGGGGAACUGAAAUAUGUUUCCAUACAAGCAAAUUUCUCUGUUUCUUAACUGAAGUGAUUUAUACCUGUUGUUUAAUCGACGUAAAGGUAACCAUUAGAUUGUGAUGGAUAAAUGGUCCUUAUUAAUUUCGGGGUAAACAUCCUUUUUCCCUUUAUUCUACCAGGAACCAAGUUUAAAGUUGAAAAAAAAAGUUUAAAGUUGUAAAAGAACUUUCCUGAAAAAAAUCAUGCCUUAAGAUCGGGAGAGUAGUAGCUGCUUAAUUAAUCUCCGACCGUCCGAUCCUGAACCAGCGGCCGCAAUCACUCUCGACCCUGCCGUCUGCCCCCAGUGAAUCCCCUUCCCUUGGAACCACAGCGACGGCGCCGCUGCCCGCCGGCGUGCGAGCAGGCGGUCCACUGCGGUUUGCCUCACUCGUCCAUGUAAGGUAACCCGAGACUCACCGGCGGCCUCUUCCCUUCCUUUACUCCCCAGCACGCGCUCUCCUCUCACUCGCGCGCUUCUCGGCCGUCCUUGCGGUUUCAGGGUCAAGGUCGCCGGCCGUCCCCGCCGGCAAGGGCGCGAGGAAAUUUACCGCCCUGAUGAAGGCUGCUAGCGGGGAGAGGCCCAGGCCAGGUAGGCUGCCAACAUUCCUCUGUUCCGCUGUACUGUACUAGUACCUCUUAAUUCAGUUCAGUUUAAAGUUGAGUUCGACAGACACCAGCAGCAUUGGCAGUGAAACCAGAUCGAUUGCUGGGAGUGGGAACGAGCAGCAUCUCAAAACCCUGUGCCUUCUCUCACUUGGUUUUUGUUCUGCAUGGCCUAGGAUAACUAAACUGUAUGCAUUUUCAGUGCCUGCUGCCUCCUGGGCUGGUCUCUUUAUGUGAUCUGAAGAUGCUAAGAGAAUGAAUUGCCUUUGUCAGUGGAUCAAUAUUCCCUGGAAUAACAUGAGUGGACCAAUAUUUCGCUGGUAUAAUUAAGCUCGAUCUGCAUGCCGUCAAACAGUUAUGUCGGGGCGACAAUUAAGGAGGUGGUGCUCACCAGUGAACGAUUCCUUUCAGAAAGUUGAAGACGACAGGAGGAGUCAGCAGAGCACUCAGCUGACAAGUGAGCAAGCAGUCUCUCACACUCAAUUAUUGAGUUUACCCAUUACCUCGAGAGUUGCCAACACAAUAAGUGAAAGUGAAGUGAUAAUAUUGGCACCGACCGGUGCAUGCAUUUCUCCUCUUGUGCUCUAAACGCAUCAUUGUCCUUAUUUUCUCAGAAAGCACUGGAUGCUAUUCUCCUCCUACUUGGUCUCUUUAUGUGUUUUAAACAUGCUAAGAGAAAUGGUGUUUGAUAAUGGAUCGAUAUUCCCUGGAAUAGUAAUCCGAGUGGACUAAUAUUCACUCGAGUAAUUAAGCUCGCCAGUGAACUCGUGAUCUGCAUGCAGUCAAACAGUCUGAACGGUUCCUUCCAGACUAAAAUCUGGAGGUUGCAGACACAAUAAAGUGAGUGAACCGAUAACAUUGGCAGUUGUCUCAAGAAGCACCGGAUGCUAGCUCUUCUCCUCUCCCCCAUUAAAGGCAGCUACUCUGCUCAAGAAGCUCCAGGCCACCAAGCAGUGGAUCUCGUUGACCGGCACCAAAAACCAUAUCCUCGUUCUUACCAGGUGACACUCCCUUUGUUUAUGUACCGAUUUCACCUCCUCCUUCUGGACUACCACAACCUGACAUCCUCCUCUGUUUUGGUCCAACCAAGAAGUAACACCUUCAUUUCAGUUCAAGGAGGGAUCAACGUGAUUUGAUUUCAGUGUCUCGGACUGAUGAUAAAUUAAGGCGCUCUUUCUCUAUCUCUUCCUUGUAAUCCAUUUGUUGCCUAACACUUCAGGCAGCAGUUUAGCCAGCAGAUUGUACGAAACAAAAGGAUAAUUGACAGUCUAGUUCGCCAAUAGCUACAACAUGAUCCAGAUCUGGGGUUUGUUUACUUCAUCAGUCUACACAUAAACCAAAAGAAAAGAGGCACAGUUUCUUCCCUUCAUGGCAACCACUGCGUAUGCUGUUUGCAAGCCAAUAAUAACCAGCACAAACUAGCUAGGCAGAGAGAAUUCUAUUCUGAUCAAGUGGACAACAAUGGCCGAACUUUUGGUGAGCGCGUCCACGGGUGCCAUGGGUUCCCUUCUUGGAAAGCUGGGCACUAUGCUCAGCAAUGAAUACAAGCUGCUCAAGGAUGUUCGUGAUGACAUCAAGUUCCUCAAGGAUGAGCUCGAGGCCAUGCAAGCAUUCCUUGUGAUGAUGGCAGAUGAGGAGGAACCUGACCAGCAAUCCAGGCUUCGUGCCAAUGCUGUGCGGGAGCUGUCGUAUGAGAUCGAGGACAGCAUCGACAAGUUCAUGUUACACGUGGAACGUGAGCCUAGUUCCACAUCCGACGGUAUCAUGAAGCUUUUUUACAAUACAAAGGACAAGAUAGCAAACAUAAAGAUCCGCCAUAAGAUUGCUAACGACGUCAAAUAUAACAAGAGCCAAGACAAUGAGGUCAAUGCGAGAUACGCUAGGUAGGUACAUAAACAAGUUUGUAGAGCUUUUUGCAUUUCAAGGUCUUGUUGUACUAUUAGUGAGUUCAUAUACUCUAAUAUGCCAUCAAAUUUUAUCAGUUAUUUGGCCUUCUGUCUAAUUUCUUCCCACAAAUGAAGUACAAGAUCGACGAGUCUUCCAGAACUAGAAAUGAAAAGGUUGACCCUCGACUGCGUGCGGUCUAUAAAGAUGCAUCAGAGCUUGUCAGGAUCGAUGGUCCAACAGAUGAGCUUGUCAAGUGGCUGAGGGACAAGGAGGGUGAGGUGGCACAUCACCCAAAACUUGUAUCUGUUGUUGGAUAUGGAGGGUUAGGCAAGACGACUCUCGCGAGACAGGUCUAUAACAAGCUUGGAGCAAACUUUGAAUGUCGGGCUUUUGUGUCGAUCUCACGUAGCCCUGAUAUGAUGAAGAUUUUAGGUUCUAUAUUAUCUGAAGUCAGCAAUGGAAAGGAACAUGCUAGAUCAACGCAUCAGCAAAUUAUCGACCAGAUCAGAGACAUCCUGAAAGAUAAAAGGUACCGAACUAUCAUAUUGUACAUAAGGUUUGUAUUUGUACUCAAUCAGUCUGACUGUGUGCAUUCUCCAAAUGCACUGGCCGGCAGGUGUUUUCUACAAUCAUAAAAAAAAAUAAGUCCUAAAAACUUUGUAGCACUGCCUUUAUAGUAGGUGUAGUGGAUAGCUAGAAAAGCUUCAUGCCUAUCCUUCCAUGGUUUUCAAAUACACAAAUCUUGCUACAUAUUAGUUUGUUACUUUUUUUUUUACUCAAAAACAGUAGGAGAGGCUCCUACUGUGGUAUAUAUUAAUAGCUUAUAUGUACAAAGUUACAUGGAGUGACCCCAGAUUACAUUAAUGGAAACUAUCUAGUAAACUCUCAAACAAAGGGGAUAGAGUUUGUGGCACUCUAGAGCCAAGCAAAGCAAAAUCACUCUUGAACCUGGCUUUCCAGCCUUGAAAAGAUGGCUGCACUCCCUCAAAAAUGAAAUCAUUCCUCUGUUUCCAUAUAUUCCAAGCACCAAGUGCAAAUACUUCGAAGAAUAAUUUGUUGUUGAAGGCAGCUUUGACAGAAGAAAGUGCAGUAAUACAUGGGACAUCUGCCGGCCAGUGAAUCUUCAGAAAACACCAACAUCUUGUACUGAAUUCACACGAAGCAAAUAAAUGAUCUAUUGUUUCUUCUUCUCCCCUCGAGCAAAGACAGCAGGAGAAAUCAUUAUUUUGCACCUGAUAAUGUCUCCUCUUUAGCAUAUUAUGAGUAUUCAAUCUAUCAGCUAGCAUAAGCCAUAUGAACACUUUUGCUUUCAUUGGAUUUCCAAAUCCAAUUGAAUGGUUUCGGAGGGACCAACUCUCUGAAGCAAAACUAGUAGUAAGCUCUGGAACAAUAAGGUUUUCUCCAAAUAGGGACCCAAACAUCUGAAACUUCUGAAUCGGAACUUGCCACAAGCGGCAGAAGGUCUUGAAAUUCCUCGAAGGCUUCUGGGGACAAAGGUAAAUGGAAGUUACUUUGUUAUGGCUUAAUGGUGUUAGUUGCUACAGGUUAUAGGGGUAGACUGCAAAUUCAAAGCCUGCCUAAUUAAUGCGUCGUGAGACAGGAGUAUGUCUGAAAUUGUUGGUGGAAUGUUUUCAGUUCAAGGUUUUGUAAAUAAUAAUAAAUACCUGAUCUGUCGUACUACUUGUAUAAAAAUUGGGUUGUGUUCCCCCUGUCCCCAGAAUAGUUGCACUAAACAAAAAGCUCCAACACAGAAUGUAUGUUGAUUUCAAUCCUCCAAUUCGGACCAUGUAAUGGGUCAAACGUAAAAUAGUACCUCCUAAAAAGGAUUAUUUACAAAUUGAAAAGGCAGAAUAACAAUACCUAGUAAUUAAUUUAAAUCUUGAAGCACUACAAGAUCCGACAUUUGGAAGAUUCAAUCUGCAAACCUCCACAAGUUUUUUCAAGAAAAUGCAAAGCUUGUGUCUCGUGAUGAAUUUUUCAAUAACAAUAACAAUACCUAGUAAUUAAAUUAAUAUUUGACAGACAUACAUGUGCAAUGCAGGUUUUGUAAAAAAAAAAAACUAAACAUGAAUCCUCAUGAUGAAUUUAUACUAUAUUGUACAAAAUGUGUGCUGCACCGUACACACAUAUGUUUGUCAAUUUAUCGGAGCACUAAUUUAUAGAAUAGUCAAUGGUAUAACUCGCAUUCUUCCUGUAUGUUUUUCUCUCCCCCCCCCCCUCCCCCCCCCCCUAUACUGUCGGGGCCUCUCCUACAGUUUUUGGUCAAAAAAAUGGUAUAACUCGCAUAUUCUAUUCGGUUAAUUACUACGAAUGUCUUGUGAACUCUGCUUCGAUACUCCUAUAGUGCAUGAUGUUACUUUUUUUUCCUAUGGCUAUACUGCAGGUACUUUAUCAUAAUUGAUGAUGUAUGGGACAUUGAAACAUGGAAAACUUUGGACUGUGCACUAGUCAAGAAUGAUUGUGGUAGUGUAAUAAUGACCACAACACGUACAUGAUGUGGCUAAAUCAUGUUGCUCUUCUCAUGGGGAUCUUGUCUACAAGAUCCAACCACUUAGUGUUACUGACUCGAAGAAGUUAUUUUUCAAGCGAAUAUUUGGUUGUGAAGAAAAGUGCCCUCCUAACUUGAAAAUAGCAUCGGAAGAUAUUUUAAAAAGAUGUGGUGGUUUGCCACUGGCCAUCAAUGCCUUAUCUAGCUUGCUGGCUGCUGGGAAGACAAAAGAAGAGUGGGAUCGCGUGCGGCUUUCAAUUAGCUUUGCACAAGGAAAAAAUUGUGACAUUGAUGCUAUGAAUUACAUAUUAUCUUUUAGCUACUUUGACCUUCCUCUCGAUCUAAGAAGUUGCCUAUUAUACUUGACUAUGUUUCCUGAAGACUAUGUGGUUGAAAGGCAACGAUUAGUACACAGAUGGAUUUAUGAGG
This 12872-nucleotide long non-coding RNA is filed under the name Brachypodium distachyon (stiff brome). RNAcentral describes it as "long non-coding RNA (BDIS_LNC002429)". Lineage: Eukaryota; Viridiplantae; Streptophyta; Magnoliopsida; Poales; Poaceae. The record is from RNAcentral.